UUUUUAGUUAUUUAGAACCGAACGUGUAAUAUUUUCUUCAUUGUCAUUUUUCAGCGUAAAUUCUCUCUUUAGAUAUUUAGGGGAUGAUCGAAGACCUAAAGACAUCAACUUGCAGCUCUGUGAAUCCGGGUUCGAAUUUAAGUCGACUGAGUUAAAUUCGAGUUAAUCGGGUUUCAUCGGACUCCAUUGUCCCCAUUGUAUACUUGAUUAGAAUUCCAAGAGUAAAAGUAAUUUAUCAGCGAGAUAAUAGUUAAAAGGAUAUGCAUUCAUCCACAAAAGAUCUAUUGAAUUUUGCAAAUUCUGCAUCCGACAACAUCAAAUCCAUCCUUUGCAAACCCUCACAACAUAAAAGGAAAGUGAAUCAUAGGAAUUUUCUACGUAAACAAAUUCGAAGAUUCAAAAUGAAUUCCGAAUUUCAAAUGAAGACCAAAAACUAUUUACACAAAGAAAAAUCAAAUGAAUCUAUUGAACAGUUAUUGAGCAAUGAGAAAUUAACAAGUAAAGAGAAUUGUAAUCAUCAUCAUCAUCAUCAAGAUGAAAUUCUUCCUGAAAAUUCGACUCAAACGCAUACAGUAAUGAGUAAUUAUCCUUCCUGUGUUUAUGAUUAUCAUUCUCUUUAUGAAAAUGAUAAUGAAUUGUUUAAUGAAGAUAAGCAAAAUCAAUUAUUCAUCCCCUCCAUUACUAUAGAUUCAUUAAGAAGAGAAGAAUGGGGCUAUAUUGAUAGCAUUGUUUCGUCCAGAUUAUGAUAUUCUUGCAUUUAAAAUAUCUUUUGAUGUCUUAAUUACAAAUAUAUGUAAUAAUUAUAAUUAAAAUUUUGAGUAUAAUGG
Centruroides sculpturatus (bark scorpion) is the source of this 827-nucleotide RNA transcript. RefSeq lists it as uncharacterized. The record is from RefSeq and is a predicted model, not a curated record. The transcript has 3 exons. Lineage: Eukaryota; Metazoa; Arthropoda; Arachnida; Scorpiones; Buthidae.